UGAAAUGCGAUAAGUAAUGUGACUUGCAUUAUUCUGUGAAUCAUUGAAUUUUUGAACGCACCUUGCACCCUCCACUCUAAGGGAGGGUAUACCUGUCUGAGUAUCGUAUCAAAAAACCCGUUGUUGGGGGAAGUGAGGCCAACACCCGUGUUUGUCUCUAAAGCGAUUUGUUUAAAGCGAGGUAGGAGAACGCAGUUCUUUCCCGCUGACAAGCAGACCAGGACACAGAUCUCAGAUCAGGCAAGACUACCCGCCGAACUUAA
Molecule: unclassified non-coding RNA, 263 nt
Filed under: uncultured fungus
Lineage: Eukaryota; Fungi
Description: sequence contains ITS1
Rfam family: 5.8S ribosomal RNA (bases 1-106)
Source: RNAcentral